CGUGUAGGCGGUCCGGUAAGUCCGCUGUGAAAGUCCAGGGCUCAACCCUGGGAUGCCGGUGGAUACUGUCGGGCUAGAGUACGGAAGAGGCGAGUGGAAUUCCCGGUGUAGCGGUGAAAUGCGCAGAUAUCGGGAGGAACACCAAUUGCGAAGGCAGCUCGCUGGGACGUCACUGACGCUGAGACGCGAAAGCGUGGGGAGCAAACA
Molecule: ribosomal RNA, 207 nt
Filed under: uncultured bacterium
Lineage: Bacteria
Description: partial 16S ribosomal RNA
Rfam family: Bacterial small subunit ribosomal RNA
Source: RNAcentral